GAGUUUGAUCCUGGCUCAGGAUGAACGCUGGCGGCGUGCCUAACACAUGCAAGUCGAACGAAGCAAUCGGGAUGAAGUUUUCGGAUGGAUUCCUGGUUGACUGAGUGGCGGACGGGUGAGUAACGCGUGGAUAACCUGCCUCACACUGGGGGAUAACAGUUAGAAAUGGCUGCUAAUACCGCAUAAGCGCACAGUACCGCAUGGUACGGUGUGAAAAACCCAGGUGGUGUGAGAUGGAUCCGCGUCUGAUUAGCCAGUUGGCGGGUAACGGCCCACCAAAGCGACGAUCAGUAGCCGACCUGAGAGGGUGACCGGCCACGAUUGGGACUGAGACACGGCCCAAACUCCUACGGGAGCAGCCAGUGGGGAAUAUGCACAAUGGGCGAAAGCCUGAUGCAGCGACGCCGCGUGAGUGAAGAAGUAUCUCGGUAUGUAAAGCUCUAUCAGCAGGGAGAAAUGACGUACCUGACUAAGAA
Molecule: ribosomal RNA, 476 nt
Filed under: uncultured microorganism
Description: bacterial SSU rRNA
Rfam family: Bacterial small subunit ribosomal RNA
Source: RNAcentral